GACGAGGGGUGCAACCGUUAUUCGGAAUGAUUGGGCGUAAAGGGUGCGUAGGCGGUUCAUCAAGUCAACUGUUAAAUUUCUCAGCUUAACUGGGAGUAUGCGGUAGAAACUGAUGAACUAGAGGAUGGAAGAGAGAAGUAGAAUUCUCGGAGUAGCGGUAAAAUGCGUAGAUCUCGAGAGGAACACCGAUGGCGAAGGCAGCUUCUUGGUCCAUUUCUGACGCUGAGGCACGAAAGCGUGGGGAGCAAACAGG
RNAcentral lists this ribosomal RNA (253 nucleotides) under uncultured bacterium. Its description in RNAcentral is "partial 16S ribosomal RNA". It matches the Rfam family "Bacterial small subunit ribosomal RNA", at positions 524 to 776 of the family's 1533-position model. The record is from RNAcentral.